ACAGAAGCUGUGGAAGGCGCCAUCCUGCCUGCCACAGGAAGGGCCUUGGACUGAGAGGACCGGAGCUGACUGGGGAUUAUUCAAAGCCAAAAGCCAACAGAGCCCCCAUGGAGAAGUGGAGGAUGCUCAGAUACUGCUAUGGAGCCCUGAGAAGUGAAAUGGGUCCAAGCCCUUGCCCAGGAUAGAGCGCUCCAAGCGCAUCCUCCGGGGACCCUUUUAAUCAGUGAAUUGUUCACCUCUCACUGUUUCUUCCCAGCAGAGCUAAGAGACUUCUAGAGCCUCUUGUGGAUGGUCAGCGAUAGCCCUGGUCACAAUAUGUGGAGCUGACAAGGUUCCCCUAUUAUCAGUGACAAUGGUGGAAUGUGGAGGUGAAGUUAACACCUUCGUGGCUACAGAGUUUCCUUAGCAGAGCUGUGGAGUGUGACAAUGGUGUUUGUGUCUAAACUAUCAAACGCCAUUAUCACACUAAAUAGCUACUGCUAGGCAAUCCUUCCCUCGAUAAAUGUCUUGGCAUCGUUUGCUUUGAGCAAGAAGGUUCAUCUGAUAUCAGUCUUCUCAAUCUUGUGUACUUACUGAAUAAAGUCUGGCUCUUUUGCACUCAUAACCAA
This 608-nucleotide long non-coding RNA is filed under the name Homo sapiens (human). RNAcentral describes it as "MIR122 host gene, transcript variant 2 (MIR122HG)". The stretch from base 407 to 479 matches the Rfam family "mir-122 microRNA precursor family". The record is from RNAcentral. Lineage: Eukaryota; Metazoa; Chordata; Mammalia; Primates; Hominidae.